UACGGAGGAUGCAAGCGUUAGUCCGGAAUGAUUGGGCGUAAAGCGUCCGCAGGGUGGCAAUGUAAGUCUGCUGUUAAAGAGUCGUAGCUCAACUAGAUAAAAGCAGUGGAAACUACAUAGCUAGAGUGACGUUCGGGGCAGAGGGAAUUCCUGGUGUAGGACGGUGAAAUGCGUAGAGAUCAAGGAAGAACACCAGUGGCGAAGGCGCUCUGCUAGGCCGUAAUUGACACUGAGGGACGAAAGCUAGGGGGAGCGAAUGGG
RNAcentral lists this ribosomal RNA (261 nucleotides) under uncultured bacterium. RNAcentral's name for it is "partial 16S ribosomal RNA". It matches the Rfam family "Bacterial small subunit ribosomal RNA", at positions 524 to 776 of the family's 1533-position model. The record is from RNAcentral.